Molecule: transfer RNA, 73 nt
Filed under: Marmota monax (woodchuck)
Lineage: Eukaryota; Metazoa; Chordata; Mammalia; Rodentia; Sciuridae
Description: tRNA.Val
Source: RNAcentral
UGGGGUUGUGGCUCAGCGGUAGCGCACUUGCCUAACAUGUAUGAGGCACUGGGUUUGAUUCUCAGCACCACAA